AUACUUAGCAGGCCGGGGAGAUACAAUGAUCAUGAAGGUGGUUUUCCCAGGCUUAUCUAUUGCACUCUGGAUGUGCUCACCCCUACAGUUUCCCCAAAUGUGGGGAACUCAGCUGCACAAUUUAUGGUAGUGGGGGACUGCAUUCAUGCUCUCUUCUG
Molecule: small nuclear RNA, 158 nt
Organism: Mesocricetus auratus (golden hamster)
Lineage: Eukaryota; Metazoa; Chordata; Mammalia; Rodentia; Cricetidae
Gene: U1
Rfam family: U1 spliceosomal RNA
About the family: U1 is a small nuclear RNA (snRNA) component of the spliceosome (involved in pre-mRNA splicing). Its 5' end forms complementary base pairs with the 5' splice junction, thus defining the 5' donor site of an intron.
Source: Ensembl